Molecule: ribosomal RNA, 644 nt
Filed under: uncultured bacterium
Lineage: Bacteria
Description: bacterial SSU rRNA
Rfam family: Bacterial small subunit ribosomal RNA
Source: RNAcentral
CGCGGCCUAUCAGCUUGUUGGUGAGGUAACGGCUCACCAAGGCGUCGACGGGUAGCCGGCCUGAGAGGGCGACCGGCCACACUGGGACUGAGAUACGGCCCAGACUCCUACGGGAGGCAGCAGUGGGGAAUAUUGCGCAAUGGGCGAAAGCCUGACGCAGCAACGCCGCGUGCGGGAUGACGGCCUUCGGGUUGUAAACCGCUUUCAGCAGGGACGAAGCAACACGUGACGGUACCUGCAGAAGAAGCACCGGCCAACUACGUGCCAGCAGCCGCGGUGAUACGUAGGGUGCGAGCGUUGUCCGGAAUUAUUGGGCGUAAAGAGCUUGUAGGCGGUCUAUUGCGUCGAGAGUGAAAACUCAGGGCUCAACCCUGAGCCUGCUCUCGAUACGGGUAGACUUGAGGGAUGUAGGGGAGAACGGAAUUCUUGGUGGAGCGGUGGAAUGCGCAGAUAUCAGGAGGAACACCGGUGGCGAAGGCGGUUCUCUGGACAUUUCCUGACGCUGAGAAGCGAAAGCGUGGGUAGCAAACAGGCUUAGAUACCCUGGUAGUCCACGCCGUAAACGGUGGGUACUAGGUGUGGGGGACAUUCCACGUUCUCCGUGCCGCAGCUAACGCAUUAAGUACCCCGCCUGGGGAGUACGG